GCAAGUCGAACGUGAAAGCAGGCUUCGGCCUGUCGGUAGCGUGGCAGACGGGUGAGUAACACGUGGGUAACCUACCCAGAGGUGGGGGAUAACCCUUCGAAAGGAGGGCUAAUACCGCAUAACAUCCCGAGGUCUUCGGGCUUCGGGAUCAAAGCUAGCCUCUACUUGUAAGCUAGCGCCACUGGAGGGGCCCGCGCCCCAUUAGCUUGUUGGUGAGGUAAAGGCUCACCAAGGCCACGAUGGGUAGCCGGCCUGAGAGGGCGAUC
This 266-nucleotide ribosomal RNA is filed under the name uncultured bacterium. RNAcentral describes it as "partial 16S ribosomal RNA". It matches the Rfam family "Bacterial small subunit ribosomal RNA", at positions 57 to 305 of the family's 1533-position model. The record is from RNAcentral.